GUUGUAUUCCACUGGGUCCUCUUGUUAGGACAUGCAAUUGUGGCAAAAGCCAUAAGAAGCAUGCUAAAACAUUUGGGUUCACAGCAUGCUUCUUAGGCAAUUGUGGCUGUACACAUUAGAAUUUCAGAGACAGAUUUCAUUUUCACAAUGUGGGUGUUUGUGCCCCAUGUAAAAUCAAGUGAUGUAAGACAGAGCCAAAGUUCUUCCCUUGUUACUUUGAAUGCAAUCUUCAGGAAGAACAGAGGCCUUUUCAGGGCCAAUCUACAUUUAUUUGGAUAGUGUAUUGGUCGAUUUUCAGAGUUUAGGUUAUAAUGUUCAUAUUACUGAUAUCUGGCAACUCCCUAGAUCAGCCCCCUACCGUGAUGGAUUGGGAGGAAUUUAUAUCUUAAGGGAAAUAUAACUCAUUACUGAAAAAUCACACCUCUCAUUCUCAGAAAUUGAUGCUACUUAUAGCAACUCUAAUGUAAAGACUGGACAGGCCAGCCACCUUCAUAUUUUGGUGGCUGCUGCUGGACUAUUUUGCUAAUAAAAUCCACCCUAGUGAAUGUACCAAAGUUCCACAAGGGAGGGAAGUACACUACUUUUAGUCUCUGAAUUAAUUAAGUUGUGGUCAAAAAAUAUUUUUAACCAAUUGACUUUCAGACUCAACUACUAAAAAGGACAUGCUCUACCAUUCCUACCAAAGUUUGACUGGAAAACUGCUUGUGAUGUUUGGUGAAAAGCCACUUUUAACACCUUCAUUUUAGAAUGCUUGACUUUAUGUUCUUUGAAGUUUCUUGACUGCUGGUGGAAACAAGAACUGGCCAAAGUGUGUGUGUGUGUGUGUGUGUGCGCGUGUGUGCUUUCUUCUCAUUACAGGAAUCCUUUAUAAUUCUGAUCUAGUUUCAUUUGUAAACUGGAUUGAUAUGCCUCAAGUUUAAUUCUGAAUGCUGAAAGCAUGGGGGACAGAUUUUUGGGAACUACAUUAAUAAACCUGGAGAGUUAUUUGUUUGUUGUUAGUUGUUCCUAAACUGCAAACCAACUUUAAUAUUCUGCCUUUUGAGUCUCAUUUACAACUUUACUGUAGACUAAUGAUCACAGGCUAACCCACAUUAGCUCAGUAGACUUCUGCAAGGUAAGAACCCUUACCUGGUGUGAUUUCUAGUGAGGUAAAAGACAGACAUGACCUAGCCCUUCAUUAUAGGUUUGGCACCACUUUCUUUGUAGAUUUCUGAGUUUUACCCAACACACUGUGAAAGUUCUAUCACUUCUAAUGCACGUCCCCCACCUCAGGAGGCCUGUUUUCUUUUCCAGAAUGCUAAAUAACAGUAUGGCUUUAUUUCCCAUGAUGCUGGAGAUCCAUCCAUAGGUCUAUCCUAAUAUCCCAGUACAAUGAGUAUACCAGUUUACUUGUUUGUUUACCAUUUGGAAAGCUUUGAUUUCAGUUUUUAGUAUUAUGAAUAAAGGUGCUAUAUUUACAUUCAGGUUUGCUGAACAUGUUCCAUUUCAUUUGAUAAAUACCUGUGAAUUAGACAAAUUUGGUCAGAAACUGCCGAACAUUUUACUGAGUGGCUAUAUAAUUUUGCUAUUUUUUCCAGCAAUUUAUGAGCUACAGUUGCUCUGCAUCCUCACCAGAAUUUAUUACCUAGUCUUAGUAGAUAUAUAUCAUUUUGGUUUUUAUUACAUUUUCACAAUAACUUAUAUUCCUAUUGGCCAUUCACUUAUUUUUGUCUUGUUUAAAUUUUUUACCCAUUUAAAAUUAGAUUUGACUGAGGAUAUGAAUGGGAGAGUAUCUGCAUAGCAUGUGUGAGUCAAACAACUGAACUAUACAAAUCCUUUGUAUUUUCUUGAGCCUGUACCUCCAAGGGUUAGUACCACUUUUGGUUAAGAGAAACAAACAUUUGUUUUAAUACAUAAGAAGUGGGAGAUAUCUCAGUAGAUGGUUGGCCUGUUAAUUACUGAUUGGAUGGCUAGAUGCAUGUGAUAGAUGCCUUCAUCUUUAUCUUAUUCUUUCUUUCUCUCAUAAGUCAGGUAUUUUGUGUUAUGCCCCCUUUCCAGACUAAAAUUAUACUAUAGCACUUCCCUAGAUUCCUGUUUCCUUGUACAUACUGAGCUCUUGUUUCUUCAACCCCAUCCUGCCCCAAGAAGGUAUGGAGCUGUCAACAGUGAAGUCCAAAACUGUGUGUGUAUGUAGUUCAGUAGUAGAGAGC
RNAcentral lists this long non-coding RNA (2189 nucleotides) under Marmota monax (woodchuck). The record is from RNAcentral. Lineage: Eukaryota; Metazoa; Chordata; Mammalia; Rodentia; Sciuridae.